This 427-nucleotide ribosomal RNA is filed under the name uncultured bacterium. Its description in RNAcentral is "bacterial SSU rRNA". It matches the Rfam family "Bacterial small subunit ribosomal RNA", at positions 355 to 796 of the family's 1533-position model. The record is from RNAcentral.
UCGAGAAUCUUCCGCAAUGGGCGAAAGCCUGACGGAGCGACGCCGCGUGAUUGAUGAAGUCCCUCUGGGACGUAAAAAUCUUUUAUGAGAUACUAAGUUUAUUGAAGAGCUCAUGAAUAAGGGGUUGCUAAACUCGUGCCAGCAGCAGCGGUAAUACGAGUGCCCCAAGCGUUAUCCGGAAUCAUUGGGCGUAAAGGGUGUGUAGGUGGUCGUGUUAGUCUGUCGUUAAAACCUGGGGCUCAACCUCAGACAAGCGAAGGAAACGGCACAACUAGAGGAUGCGAGGGGUCUGUGGAACUCAUGGAGUAGGGGUGAAAUCCGUUGAUAUCAUGGGGAACACCAAAAGCGAAGGCAGCAGACUGGAGCAUUCCUGACACUGAAACACGAAAGCGUGGGUAGCGAAUGGGAUUAGAUACCCCCGUAGUCC